AUGAGAGUUGUCCGCUCCAAUAUGGCGGCGACGUUGACGUGCGGUCGAGCGGCCAAUGAGGCGUCUAGGUAUUUUAUUUUAUUUAUUUUUUAUUUAUUUAUUUUUUUUGGACUCCGAAGCGCGUUUCGGGAAUCGUUUGAUCGGGGCUUCGGAGUUUGCAAAACAUUUGAUUCAGAUCGGGACUCCGAAGCGCGUUUCGCGAAUUAUUUGAUCGGGGCUUCGGAGCGAGUUUGCAAAACAUUUUAUUCAGAUCGGGACUCCGAAGCGCGUUUCGCGAAUUAUUUGAUCGGGGCUUCGGAGCGAGUUUGCAAAACAUUUUAUUCAGAUCGGGACUCCGAAGCGCGUUUCGCGAAUUAUUUGAUCGGGGCUUCGGAGCGAGUUUGCAAAACAUUUGAUUCAGAUCGGGACUCCGAAGCGCGUUUCGCGAAUUAUUUGAUCGGGGCUUCGGAGCGAGUUUGCAAAACAUUUGAUUCAGAUCGGGACUCCGAAGCGCGUUUCGCGAAUUAUUUGAUCGGGGCGUAUAGUUUCUACAAUAUUUAGUAGUAGCUUACACGAUUUAUCUAUAUCAUUUUACUUUAGCUUUAUUUCAAUUACAGAAAACUGUUUUUAGUAGUUUCAGUCUUAGUUAACAACAAUGACACAUAGUUGGUUGCUUUGGAAAUUACUAGUUAGGAGUAAAAGUGUAACUGUGUGUGCUUAUUUUACAUAUUUAUUUUUUAAAAUAAAAUGUAAAAAUUAUAUAUUGUUCAUGUUUGUUAAUGAAUUAACUAACAUUAACUAAAGGACUAGUAUUCUAAAGUGUUACUACUUCAUCUUUGUAAAUAAGUAAGGGUAGUGAAAUUAAAGAGAGAAGCUUUAGCUCCAUCAUUAAUCUAGACAGUCAAAGGGCUCACUCUGUAUAUUGUGCUCAUAACACCAUUUAGUUCAUUAUUUAAAAGGCAAUAUAAGUUUAAACGUAAUAAGAAUUCAUUUAAACUUUGAAUUCUUAUGAAGUCUCAGCUUUCACUGAUAACUACGUUAGCGAUAUCGCUAUCUAUUAUUAAUAGUCUGACACUGGCUGUCAACAUAAUGUUAAAAAUGACCAAAAAAACAUCGAGAAAGAACAGCUGAGUCUUACCUGUGAAAGAUAACACCCCGAGAUCUGUUUUUAUUAUCGUGUGACGGUUUGUAGGUAUCCAAUCUGUCUAUGAUUCUGGUUUGUUUUCUUCUUUCCUGAUGUGAGAGUUAUGAGAGUUGUCCGCUCCAAUAUGGCGGCGACGUUGACGUGCGGUCGAGCGGCUAAUGAGGCGUCUAGGUAUUUUAUUUAUUUAUUAUUUUAUUUAUUUAUUUAUUUUUUUGGGACUCCGAAGCGCGUUUCGCGAAUCAUUUGAUCGGGAGCUUCGGAGCGACUUUGCAAAACAUUCGAUUCAGAUCGGGACUCCGAAGCGCGUUUCGUGAAUCAUUUGAUCGGGAGCUUCGGAGCGACUUUGCAAAACAUUUGAUUCAGAUCGGGACUCCGAAGCGCGUUUCGUGAAUCAUUUGAUCGGGAGCUUCGGAGCGACUUUGCAAAACAUUCGAUUCAGAUCGGGACUCCGAAGCGCGUUUCGUGAAUCAUUUGAGAUCGGGGCUUCGGAGUUUGCAAAACAUUUGAUUCAGAUCGGGACUCCGAAGCGCGUUUCGCGAAUCAUUUGAGAUCGGGGCUUCGGAGUUUGCAAAACAUUUGAUUCAGAUCGGGACUCCGAAGCGCGUUUCGUGAAUCAUUUGAGAUCGGGGCUUCGGAGUUUGCAAAACAUUUGAUUCAGAUCGGGACUCCGAAGCGCGUUUCGUGAAUCAUUUGAUCGGGAGCUUCGGAGCGAGUUUGCAAAACAUUUGAUUCAGAUCGGGACUCCGAAGCGCGUUUCGCGAAUCAUUUGAUCGGGAGCUUCGGAGCGAGUUUGCAAAACAUUUGAUUCAGAUCGGGACUCCGAAGCGCGUUUCGCGAAUUAUUUGAUCGGGAGCUUCGGAGCGAGUUUGCAAAACAUUUGAUUCAGAUCGGGACUCCGAAGCGCGUUUCGUGAAUCAUUUGAUCGGGAGCUUCGGAGCGAGUUUGCAAAACAUUCAGAUCGGGACUCCGAAGCGCGUUUCGCGAAUCAUUUGAUCGGGAGCUUCGGAGCGAGUUUGCAAAACAUUUGAUUCAGAUCGGGACUCCGAAGCUCGUUUCGCGAAUCAUUUGAGAUCGGGGCUUCGGAGUUUGCAAAACAUUUGAUUCAGAUCGGGACUCCGAAGCGCGUUUCGCGAAUCAUUUGAGAUCGGGGUUUCGGAGUUUGCAAAACAUUUGAUUCUAUCAUGUAGGCUACUAGAUCAAGUUUUAAUAAAGAGAAAAGAGGUUUAGAGACAGAUUUUUGUUAAUAACCUGUUAGUAAUCCCACAGUCCAUAGCAUCAGUAACUGUAUAAUUUAGUAAGGGAAAAUUAAAACAACAUAUAAUGAGUUUAAAAUUGUUUUUUUUUUUUUUUUUUUUUGUAGCAAUGGUCAUCGUAACGACGUAUUUAUAUGUCUAUAAGGCUGUAACCAGAAAUGACGUCACGGUUGUUUUGAGUUUCGUAGCGCGGUGCGCAUGCGCAGACACUCGUGUCCUUCUCUCGGCUCGACGCAUCGGUUGUUGAAUGCGACAGAACGCGGCCAUUGGACCACAUGUUAUCAACCGCAUUAAACUUCGAAUAAGUUGUGAAAAUAUC
Long non-coding RNA from Carassius auratus (goldfish), 2695 nucleotides. NCBI's taxonomy places the organism in Eukaryota, Metazoa, Chordata, Actinopteri, Cypriniformes, Cyprinidae. The record is from Ensembl.